UACGGAGGGGGCAAGCGUUGUUCGGAUUUACUGGGCGUAAAGGGUGUGUAGGCGGUUGCGCAAGUCUGGUGUGAAAUCUUCACCGCUUAACGGGAAGAGGUCACUGGAAACUGCGUAACUCGAGUAUGGUAGAGGCAAGCGGAAUUCCUGGUGUAGCGGUGGAAUGUGUAGAUAUCAGGAAGAACAUCUGUGGCGAAGGCGGCUUGCUGGGCCAUCACUGACGCUGAGACGCGAAAGCGUGGGGAGCGAACAGG
RNAcentral lists this ribosomal RNA (254 nucleotides) under uncultured bacterium. RNAcentral's name for it is "partial 16S ribosomal RNA". It matches the Rfam family "Bacterial small subunit ribosomal RNA", at positions 524 to 776 of the family's 1533-position model. The record is from RNAcentral.